RNAcentral lists this transfer RNA (94 nucleotides) under Amycolatopsis sp. NBRC 101858. RNAcentral's name for it is "tRNA-Pro". Lineage: Bacteria; Bacillati; Actinomycetota; Actinomycetes; Pseudonocardiales; Pseudonocardiaceae. The record is from RNAcentral.
GCUGCAGCGGCGGGAGGUUCUGGUCGUAGCCGUACUGGGCCUGCGGCACCUGGUGCGGCCCCGAGACGGCCGGGUUCGGCACCUGGUGGGGCCC